This 439-nucleotide ribosomal RNA is filed under the name uncultured bacterium. RNAcentral describes it as "partial 16S ribosomal RNA". It matches the Rfam family "Bacterial small subunit ribosomal RNA", at positions 338 to 795 of the family's 1533-position model. The record is from RNAcentral.
CCUACGUGUGGCAGCAGUGGGGAAUAUUGCACAAUGGGCGAAAGCCUGAUGCCGCAACGCCGCGUGAGCGAUGAAGGCCUUCGGGUCGUAAAGCUCUGUGCCCAAGGAAGAUAUUGAAGGUACUUGAGGCUGAAGCCCCGGCCAACUACGUGCCAGCAGUCGCGGUAAUGCGUAGGGGGCUAGCGUGAUACGGAAUUACUGGGCGUAAAGUGUGCGUCGGUGGUUUCUUAAGUCAGAGGUGAAAGGCUACGGCACAAGCGUAGUAAGCCUUUGAAACUGGGAAACGUUAGUGCAGGAGAGGAGAGUAGAAUUCCUAGGGUAGCGGUGACAUGCUUAGAUAUUAGGAGGAACACCAGUUGCGAAGGCGGCUCUCUGUACUGUAACUGACACUGAGGCACGAAGUCGUGGGGAGCAAACAGGAUUAGAUACCCCGGUAGUC